AUAACGGUCCUAAGGUAGCGAAAUUCCUUGUCGGGUAAGUUCCGACCCGCACGAAUGGUGUAACGAUCUGGACACUGUCUCAACUACCCACCCGGCGAAAUUGUAGUACCGGUGAAGAUGCCGGUUACCCGCGGCAAGACGGAAAGACCCCAUGGAGCUUUACUGUAACCUGAUAUUGGGUUUCGGUAUUUUAUGUACAGGAUAGGUGGGAGACUAUGAAACUAAGGCGCCAGCCUUAGCGGAGUCGCCCUUGGGAUACCACUCUUAAAGUACUGAAAUUCUAACCUGCGGCCGUGAAUCCGGUCGGGGGACAUUGUCAGGCGGGCAGUUUGACUGGGGCGGUCGCCUCCAAAAGAGUAACGGAGGCGCUCAAAGGUUCGCUCAGCAUGGUCGGAAACCAUGCCUUAGAGUGUAAACGCAAAAGCGAGCCUAACUGCGAGGCUGACGGGCCGAGCAGUAACGAAAGUUGGAGUUAGUGAUCCGGCGGUAUGUGAAUGGAAAUGCCGUCGCUCAACGGAUAAAAGCUACCCUGGGGAUAACAGGCUGAUCUCCCCCAAGAGUCCACAUCGACGGGGAGGUUUGGCACCUCGAUGUCGGCUCAUCGCAUCCUGGGGCUGUAUUCGGUCCCAAGGGUUUGGCUGUUCGCCAAUUAAAGCGGUACGCGAGCUGGGUUCAGAACGUCGUGAGACAGUUCGGUCCCUAUCUGUCGUGGGCGUAGGAUAUUUGAAGAGCGCUGUCCCUAGUACGAGAGGACCGGGAUGGACGCACCGCUGGCGCAUCGGUUGUCAUGCCAAUGGCACGGCCGAGCAACUAUGUGCGGUUUGGAUAAACGCUGAAAGCAUCUAAGCGUGAAGCCAUCUCUAAGAUAAGAUAUCCCAUAGCAUAAGCUAGUAAGACCCCUCAAAGACUAUGAGGUUGAUAGGCUGCGUGUGUAAGUACGGCGACGUAUUUAGCUUGGCAGUACUAAUAGGUCGAGGGCUUGACCUU
RNAcentral lists this ribosomal RNA (987 nucleotides) under human gut metagenome. Its description in RNAcentral is "bacterial LSU rRNA". It matches the Rfam family "Bacterial large subunit ribosomal RNA", at positions 1942 to 2925 of the family's 2925-position model. The record is from RNAcentral.